AGUGUGUCCAAUUGUGGUUUGACUUGCAGGAAGCAAAGAAGGUAAUGGCAGCUGCUGGAAAGAUCAAUGUGACGCCACCAGAGGAGAAACCUAUAGAGGAUGAACUUUUGGUGUAUGCCAACAAGCAGGAAGCAAGAAAUGCAUUUAAAGCACUUUUGGAGUCCGUAAAUAUGGAGUCUAACUGGACUUGGGAGCAGGCAAUGCGAGUGAUAAUCAAUGACAAAAGAUAUGGUGCUUUGAAAACUCUUGGUGAGCGGAAAUAGGCAUUCAAUGAG
Camellia sinensis is the source of this 275-nucleotide long non-coding RNA. RefSeq lists it as uncharacterized. Lineage: Eukaryota; Viridiplantae; Streptophyta; Magnoliopsida; Ericales; Theaceae. The record is from RefSeq and is a predicted model, not a curated record.